Epinephelus lanceolatus (giant grouper) is the source of this 365-nucleotide non-coding RNA. Lineage: Eukaryota; Metazoa; Chordata; Actinopteri; Perciformes; Serranidae. The record is from the annotation of a RefSeq genome assembly.
GUGUCAGCUGUGAAGAACUCACUCCACUCAAGAAUGAAGAGUACAGUUUAGAAGGCAGCACUGUUACUCUGUCCUACAGAUACUCCAAACAAGCUGCUGGGGAUGAUUAUUUCUUUUGGUAUCGACAAUAUCCAGGAAAACCACCAGAGUUCAUCAUUUUCAUCUCAGGGAUGAACAUUUCAAGAAUAGCAGAAUCUCUGAAAUCAGACACAAGGUUCUUUACUGAACUGUCUGAAGAAAAAUGUCGUGUGGACCUGCAGAUCUCCUCUGCUGCAGUGACAGACUCUGCUGUGUACUACUGUGCUGUGAGGCCCACAGUGACAGGAAACACCAAAACUCUGUACAAAAACAUGUGGAUCCACUAG